Molecule: long non-coding RNA, 241 nt
Filed under: Elaeis guineensis (African oil palm)
Lineage: Eukaryota; Viridiplantae; Streptophyta; Magnoliopsida; Arecales; Arecaceae
Description: long non-coding RNA (EGUI_LNC058898)
Source: RNAcentral
CUCUUUUAUUACUUCUUCAUAAAAUAAUUACCUUAGAUCUUCGAGGAUAUGAUUCUAACUCACUCUAUCUAUAUAGUUUGAGUUAGUUUUUAUUUUUGAUCGCCUACAACGGUGAUCAACUACCUUAGAGUAGAAAAGACCUGAGCCAGAUGCACCUACUGACAUUUCUGAUUUGACUAGGGAGAUAGCUUGACUGAGGGAGAGCCUUAAGUCCAGGAGUACUAAGAUAAAAUCAGCCAUC